AUUUAAACAUAUUAAAUUUUGCCCCUUAGUCUAUUUCAAUAUUUUUUAUUAUUUUAUUAAUUAUUCUAUGCACAACUAACUAAUUAUAUCUAAAUUUUCGACACUUUUUUCUUUUCACACAUAAAUUUUUUCUAGAUCCAAUUUUCUAAUUUCCAAUUAUUAUAACAAAUGACUUUUAGUAGUCAUUACAAAUCUACUCAU
This 201-nucleotide long non-coding RNA is filed under the name Ananas comosus (pineapple). RNAcentral's name for it is "long non-coding RNA (ACOM_LNC024047)". Lineage: Eukaryota; Viridiplantae; Streptophyta; Magnoliopsida; Poales; Bromeliaceae. The record is from RNAcentral.